This 196-nucleotide non-coding RNA is filed under the name Pararhizobium polonicum. The record is from RNAcentral. Lineage: Bacteria; Pseudomonadati; Pseudomonadota; Alphaproteobacteria; Hyphomicrobiales; Rhizobiaceae.
UCUGUUCGUGAUGUUCAGGGUGCCAUGUCGACAGUGAAGGAUAUGGAUAAUUGGGAAGCCGGUGCGAUGCCGGCGCUGCCCCCGCAACGGUAGCGGAACUGCAAAUCUCGACGGACAUCAUCGGGGGAGAAUACCCCGGGAAGGUCCGAAAGGAUGGUUCCGAAGUCCGGAAACCAGCCUUGAACGGAAUAACCCG